AUGGCCGAGGAGGGGAAGCACCUGGAGACGGGCCGGGCCGACCGCUCCGUCUGGCUCAUGAAGUGCCCGACCAUCGUCUCGCGCGCCUGGCAGGAGGCCGCCGCCGAUGCCGGAGGCCCCAACCCUAACCCUAACCCCGUCGUCGCCAAGGUCAUCCUCUCCUUCGACCCGCUCAGCACGGACGAGGACCCGAACCAGUUCAAGAUGGAGAUGGCUCAAACUGGCAAUGGCAACACACCGAAGAAUUACUCUUUAAAUAUGUUCAAGGAUUUUGUGCCAAUGUGUGUUUUCUCUGAGUCUAACCAAGGGAAGCUUGCAUGCGAAGGAAAAGUCGAGCACAAAUUUGACAUGGAACCGCACAAAGAAAACCUUUCAGACUAUGCAAAAUUAUGCCGUGAGAGGACUAAAAAUUCUAUGAUUAAAACAAGAAAAGUGCAUGUACUUGACAAGGAGCAUGUGAACGUGCGCACAAUGAUUAGCAUGAUUGGUGGCGGGCCUCAUUCUGGUCCAAAGGACAAGAAGAAGCCGGCGCCAACCAGAACUCCUGAAGUGAAAAGAACACGAAGGGAUCGUGGGGAUAUUGAAAACAUCCUAUUCAAGUUAUUUGAGAGGCAGUCGAAUUGGUCACUGAGGCAUCUAAUGCAGGAAACUGAUCAACCAGAGCAAUUCCUGAAGGAGAUAAUGAACGAUCUUUGCGUCUACAACAAGAGAGGACCGAAUCAAGGGACGCAUGAGCUCAAGCCUGAGUACAAGAAGUCUGUUGAGGACACUAGCGCGACCUGA
RNAcentral lists this ribosomal RNA (783 nucleotides) under Triticum aestivum (bread wheat). RNAcentral's name for it is "partial small subunit ribosomal RNA". The record is from RNAcentral. Lineage: Eukaryota; Viridiplantae; Streptophyta; Magnoliopsida; Poales; Poaceae.